CCUACGGGUGGCAGCAGUGGGGAAUUUUGCGCAAUGCUCGUAAGAGUGACGCAGCGACGCCGCGUGAAUGACGAAGGCCUUCGGGUCGUAAAGUUCUUUCGACAGGGAAGAAAAUGCCUAUAAGUAACUGUGUAUGUAUUGACGGUACCUGUAUAAGCAGCCCCGGCUAACUCCGUGCCAGCAGCCGCGGUAAUUCGGAGGGGGCGAGCGUUGUUCGGAAGGACUGGGCGUAAAGAGCACGUAGGCGGUGUUGUAAGUCAUUAGUCAAAGACUAGAGCUCAACUUUAGUAAGGCUGGGGAUACUAGAAUGCUAGAGUAGCAGAGAGGAUUGCAGAAUUCCUGGUGUAGCGGUGAAAUGCGUAGAUAUCAGGAGGAAUACCGUUAGCGAAGGCGGCAAUCUGGCUGGAAACUGACGCUGAGGUUCGAAAGCGUGGGUAGCAAACAGGAUUAGAUACCCGGGUAGUC
RNAcentral lists this ribosomal RNA (465 nucleotides) under uncultured bacterium. RNAcentral describes it as "partial 16S ribosomal RNA". It matches the Rfam family "Bacterial small subunit ribosomal RNA", at positions 338 to 795 of the family's 1533-position model. The record is from RNAcentral.